GCCGGUAUAGCUCAGUUGGUAGAGCAACUGAUUUGUAAUCAGUAGGUCGCGGGUUCGACUCCUGCUGCCGGCACCA
RNAcentral lists this transfer RNA (76 nucleotides) under Dyella terrae. Its description in RNAcentral is "tRNA-Thr". It matches the Rfam family "tRNA". Rfam says of the family: Transfer RNA (tRNA) molecules are approximately 80 nucleotides in length. Their secondary structure includes four short double-helical elements and three loops (D, anti-codon, and T loops). The record is from RNAcentral. Lineage: Bacteria; Pseudomonadati; Pseudomonadota; Gammaproteobacteria; Lysobacterales; Rhodanobacteraceae. RNAcentral also lists the same sequence under 10 other names.